CACACGACUCUCGGCAACGGAUAUCUCGGCUCUCGCAUUGAUGAAGAACGUAGCAAAAUGCGAUACCUGGUGUGAAUUGCAGAAUCCCGCGAACCAUCGAGUCUUUGAACGCAAGUUGCGCCCGAGGCCACUCGGCCGAGGGCACGCCUGCCUGGGCGUCACGC
RNAcentral lists this ribosomal RNA (164 nucleotides) under Campeiostachys nutans. RNAcentral's name for it is "Elymus nutans 5.8S ribosomal RNA". It matches the Rfam family "5.8S ribosomal RNA". From Rfam's summary of the family: 5.8S ribosomal RNA (5.8S rRNA) is a component of the large subunit of the eukaryotic ribosome. It is transcribed by RNA polymerase I as part of the 45S precursor that also contains 18S and 28S rRNA. Lineage: Eukaryota; Viridiplantae; Streptophyta; Magnoliopsida; Poales; Poaceae. The record is from RNAcentral.